GCCUGUCAAAUCAAUCAUUUAUCCAAUGAUUCCGAUUGAACACGUUUAUGAAAUAUCUUGAUAAAAAGUCCAGAUAAAAUUUUGUAGUCUCACUGUAAGUUGUUAAGACAAGAAACAAUUAAUGCGCGCGUAACACUUUUGUUUUAAACCUGACCCGUGCUGGUUCAUUCAUUGAACAGCACUUACAUUUUCGGCAUGCGUGGCGUCGGUAAAACAAACGUAUCCUUUAUCGUGUCAAAGCUGUAAACACCUGCAGGUCUUUGCAAGCCAAGUAUGCUGCCCUAUAAAAGCCAAACAUUCAAUAUUUCAUUGUGCUCAAAAGUGAACAGUAAAACAUUCUGCUAAAUACAAAGUUGCUGUUGAAGAAGCGUUCGAAAAGCUGAACUCCUGCAAAAGUCAUGAAGAAUUUCUUGGUCAUCUUGCUUAUGUUAUCUACCAUGACCCUGUGCUUGGCGAAGCCGAAAUGGAUAUGGUUCGAUGAGGAAGAGAAGAAUGAUGGGGAUUUUAACGAUGAAGUCUUGACAAGAGAAAAAGGAAAGAAUGAUGAGAAUCUGAU
Molecule: non-coding RNA, 556 nt
Organism: Paramuricea clavata
Lineage: Eukaryota; Metazoa; Cnidaria; Anthozoa; Malacalcyonacea; Plexauridae
Source: the annotation of a GenBank genome assembly